AAAUGCGAUAAGUAGUGUGAAUUGCAGAAUUCAGUGAAUCAUCGAAUCUUUGAACGCACAUUGCGCCCCUUGGUAUUCCAUGGGGCAUGCCUGUUCGAGCGUCAUUUGUACCCUCAAGCUCUGCUUGGUGUUGGGUGUUUGUCCCCGUCUCCGCGCGUGGACUCGCCCCAAAGUGAUUGGCAGCCGGCGUACUGGUCCCGGAGCGCAGCACAUGUCGCGCAAACGAGUGCCUUGGUACGGCGGCGUCCAUAAGCCCCUCUCUCACGCUCUUGACCUCGGAUCAGGUAGGGAUACCCACUGAACUUAAGC
RNAcentral lists this unclassified non-coding RNA (309 nucleotides) under plant metagenome. Its description in RNAcentral is "partial contains 5.8S ribosomal RNA, internal transcribed spacer 2, and large subunit ribosomal RNA". The stretch from base 1 to 104 matches the Rfam family "5.8S ribosomal RNA", at positions 51 to 154 of the family's 154-position model. The record is from RNAcentral.